Molecule: ribosomal RNA, 468 nt
Filed under: uncultured bacterium
Lineage: Bacteria
Description: partial 16S ribosomal RNA
Rfam family: Bacterial small subunit ribosomal RNA
Source: RNAcentral
GACGAACGCUGGCGGCGUGCUUAACACAUGCAAGUCGAACGGAAAGGCCCUGCUUUUGUGGGGUGCUCGAGUGGCGAACGGGUGAGUAACACGUGAGUAACCUGCCCUUGACUUUGGGAUAACUUCAGGAAACUGGGGCUAAUACCGGAUAGGAGCUCCUGCUGCAUGGUGGGGGUUGGAAAGUUUCGGCGGUUGGGGAUGGACUCGCGGCUUAUCAGCUUGUUGGUGGGGUAGUGGCUUACCAAGGCUUUGACGGGUAGCCGGCCUGAGAGGGUGACCGGCCACAUUGGGACUGAGAUACGGCCCAGACUCCUACGGGAGGCAGCAGUGGGGAAUAUUGCACAAUGGGCGGAAGCCUGAUGCAGCGACGCCGCGGGCGGGAUGACGGCCUGCGGGUUGUAAACCGCUUUCGCCUGUGACGAAGCGUGAGUGACGGUAAUGGGUAAAGAAGCACCGGCUAACUACGUG